Molecule: ribosomal RNA, 445 nt
Filed under: uncultured organism
Description: partial 16S ribosomal RNA
Rfam family: Bacterial small subunit ribosomal RNA
Source: RNAcentral
CACUCCUGCGGGAGGCAGCAGUGGGGAAUAUUGGACAAUGGGCGCAAGCCUGAUCCAGCCAUGCCGCGUGAGUGAUGAAGGCCCUAGGGUUGUAAAGCUCUUUCACCGGUGAAGAUAAUGACGGUAACCGGAGAAGAAGCCCCGGCUAACUUCGUGCCAGCAGCCGCGGUAAUACGAAGGGGGCUAGCGUUGUUCGGAUUUACUGGGCGUAAAGCGCACGUAGGCGGACUAUUAAGUCAGGGGUGAAAUCCCGGGGCUCAACCCCGGAACUGCCUUUGAUACUGGUAGUCUUGAGUUCGAGAGAGGUGAGUGGAAUUCCGAGGGUAGAGGUGAAAUUCGUAGAUAUUCGGAGGAACACCAGUGGCGAAGGCGGCUCACUGGCUCGAUACUGACGCUGAGGUGCGAAAGCGUGGGGAGCAAACAGGAUUAGAAACCCCGGUAGUCC